CAACUCGGACGGUGGUCCUCCUCCGCUUUCUCAUCCUACAUUCGCCCUGACCUCAAUGCCGUGCUGGCUAUCCAAAGGUCUCUCCAACCUUAAAAUUGAUUUCCACUGCAUCCCACAAGCUGUCUUCCAGGUGUCAACGCGCAACCCUCCUCCACCCCUUCACCUUCUGCUUUCAACUCAGGGCCAAGCUUAACCUUCUCCCUUCCAACCAGACCUAAACACUUAUCACCACCACCAGUGUCUAGACCCAGG
Gymnodraco acuticeps is the source of this 252-nucleotide long non-coding RNA. RefSeq lists it as uncharacterized. The transcript has 3 exons. The record is from RefSeq and is a predicted model, not a curated record. Lineage: Eukaryota; Metazoa; Chordata; Actinopteri; Perciformes; Bathydraconidae.